GAGAGGGUGGCAGAGGUGAUUUGUGGAGAACUUGGCUAUCCUGGGUUCAAGGAGAUCUCGUACGAGAACUCCACAUGUGCUUCAGAUCAAGACAACUGUACAAGAGCUCCAACUUGCAACCCUUCUACAUAUCGUCUGGUGGAUUGCACAGCUGAGCAUUCAAUGUGCUCGUCUGAGAAGGUCGUCAAAAUAAUAUGUCAUGAGCCCGGAUAUAAAGGAUGCUAUAAACUCGACACCAAGACAUUACAGAACGUCUCCAAUUUUAAGUUCUCUUCGACUGCACAUUGUCUUUAUUUGUGUAAAACCCACGAUAUCCUAGCUAUCGCUAUUAUGAAUCAAACGGAUUGUGUUUGUUCCC
Strongylocentrotus purpuratus (purple sea urchin) is the source of this 358-nucleotide long non-coding RNA. RefSeq lists it as uncharacterized. NCBI's taxonomy places the organism in Eukaryota, Metazoa, Echinodermata, Echinoidea, Camarodonta, Strongylocentrotidae. The record is from RefSeq and is a predicted model, not a curated record. The transcript is spliced from 3 exons.